Molecule: small nuclear RNA, 270 nt
Filed under: Castor canadensis (American beaver)
Lineage: Eukaryota; Metazoa; Chordata; Mammalia; Rodentia; Castoridae
Description: 7SK RNA (ENSCCNG00000007292.1)
Rfam family: 7SK RNA
About the family: 7SK was discovered as an abundant small nuclear RNA in the mid-70s but a possible function has only recently been suggested. Two independent studies have found that 7SK RNA binds the CDK9/cyclin T complex (known as elongation factor P-TEFb). P-TEFb activates transcription by phosphorylating the C-terminal domain of RNA polymerase II.
Source: RNAcentral
GAAUGUGAAGGCGAGCUGGUUGAGACAUCUGUCACCCCCUUGAUCGGUGGAUCUGGAUGGCGAGGAGUGUGUGCCUGUCCUACCUCACUGCUCCAUGUACGCCUCUCCUGAAACUGCAGGCUUGCUGAAGAGGACGACCUUCCUCUUGGACCGUUCCUUGGUCAAGGGUACACGAAUACCUACGCUUGCCUACUAGGACCUCUGAACAAGUAGGAACACAUAGUAUUCAUGGUGUAGUGAGAUAGGGAAAAGGGUAACUGGGCUUGAGUU